Molecule: long non-coding RNA, 1594 nt
Organism: Mustela lutreola (European mink)
Lineage: Eukaryota; Metazoa; Chordata; Mammalia; Carnivora; Mustelidae
Exons: 3
Source: RefSeq, a predicted model, not a curated record
CUCACAGGAAACGUCUUCUGCUUUAGGCGCCCGGGUGUUACUGUCAAGUUCUUUUUCGGACCGGGAGUGGGGUCUGGCCAGGGUGGGGCACGGGGAUCGGGGUGUGUGUGUGUGUGUGUGUGUGUGUGUGUGUGUGUGUGUGUGCGCGCGUGCCCCCCACGUAAUCGCAGGCAACCGGUGAGGUCUGGAAGAUCUGGAAGGGGAAGACUUCAUGUUCGUGUGUGCAUGCCAUCUCCCACAUGCGUCGGGUUGAAGUGCUGCAUGGAGAGGGAAGAUACAAUACAGGGGAAGAGAUUCUUGGCAGAGGACAAGCGUGCUGGUCUUGCCAGCAAGGAGUGGGAGAGGAAAAAAGCCAAAAGACAACCAGAAAUUGAGGCUGGAUCAAGUCUUUGUUCUUUCAUCGACUGUGUGGGGUGAAGAUGUCUGAACUCGACGAUUAUCAUUCAUUUCAAGUAGGUUUCAUAUUUUAUGUACUGUAAAAGGUUUUCAGGAUCCUUAGCAGCCUGGUCUUUUUUUUUUUUUUUUUUUUUUUGGCAAAUGGUACAGAAUAGAGCAAGAUUAUUACGUCCCCUGGCCAUGAUGCAACAUUCUUAUUUAUAUGUCCAAAGCCUCGUUUGAUUUUUUGACAACUGACUUAUUUAAUUGACACUGUGUUUGCGAUCAAAUAAAAUUUCAGUUUUUGUAGGAAUUUUCUUGUCAUUAAAUUUUUUUUUGUAAAAUACAUGGGGAGAAAUUGUCCAAAAUGUAAAUGUCAGUAAAUAUCCAAGGGUCCCUAUGGCUAUAAGUUAAUGAUGGAAUGAAUGAAUAAAUAAAUAAAUGGAGGAAAAGAGACAAAUAUCUCACAUGGGAAAAUGCCCCAAAAAACUUGUGCAGCUAUUCUCCACUCAAGGAGGUGACACAGAACUCACACUUCACGAGCUUGGCUGCACAGAUGGUUUCCUUCUGAGGAGCACAGCGUGGAGACAGGGAAACAGAGUAAUUGGACACUGGAGAAACGUGACAACCACAACCUCAACCAGGUGAUCAAGGUCGGCAUCAAUAGUGAUAAGUCAUGUGAUGAAAAUGCAGAACAUUCUACAAAAGGCCUGAUCAGCACUGCCAAGUUUAUCCAAAACAAGGAACUUCUGAGAAAUGGCCACAGACAAGGGGAAGCUAAGGAACCCUGAGCAGUCAAUGUCACGCAGGAUCUCGGAUGGGUCAAUGUCACACGGGAUCUUGGCUGGGUCGAUGUCAUGAGGGAUCUUGGAUGGGACCCUGCAGCAGAACACGGACAUCAGCUUAUGUUUCGAUUCAGCCAGCUGGACUCAGUUUAGAUGCUCCCAAUUUGGUUGGCAACAUCCAAAACAUCAUCGUCAAGAAACAGUUGAACAUAACAUGCCUUCUUCUCUCCAUCGGGCCUGGUCAGGAUGUUGACCUUGGCCACAUCAGAGUCCUAGAGCUGCUCCACAGCCUGACCGAUCUGGUGCUGGUUAGCCUUGAUGUCCACAAAGAACACACGUGUGCUGUUAUCUUCUAUUUUCUUCAUGGCUGGCUCCUCUGCCCCUCCCCCAUGCUCGAGUACUUGUUCUCUUUCCCUCAAAUAAAUAAAUAAAGU